Molecule: ribosomal RNA, 487 nt
Filed under: uncultured bacterium
Lineage: Bacteria
Description: partial 16S ribosomal RNA
Rfam family: Bacterial small subunit ribosomal RNA
Source: RNAcentral
GAUGAACGCUGGCGGCGUGCCUAAUACAUGCAAGUCGAGCGAACAGACGAGGAGCUUGCCCCUCUGACGUUAGCGGCGGACGGGUGAGUAACACGUGGAUAACAUACCUCUAAGACUGGGAUAACUUCGGGAAACAGGAGCUAAUACCGGAUAAUAUAUUGAACCGCAUGGUUCAAUAGUGAAAGACGGUUUUGCUGUCACUUAUAGAUGGAUCCGCGCCGCAUUAGCUUGUUGGUAAGGUAACGGCUUAGCAAGGCAACGACGCGUAGCCGACCUGAGAGGGUGGUAGGUGAGAUGGGGACUGAGAUACUGCACAGACGACUGCGGGAGGCAGGAGUAGGGGAUAUUGAAAAGUGGGCGAAAGGCUGAGUAAGGGAAGACGAGUGGAGGAUGAAGGCGUUCGGGUUGUAAACUUGUUUUGCUCUGAGAAAGGCAUGCCAGUGGGUGUAUUGAGUGUAGGGGUUGAUUAGAGCCGGCUAACUACGUG